RNA transcript from Dipodomys ordii (Ord's kangaroo rat), 1579 nucleotides. It is a transcript of the gene named nuclear receptor subfamily 1, group I, member 3, with no coding region annotated. The transcript has 10 exons. NCBI's taxonomy places the organism in Eukaryota, Metazoa, Chordata, Mammalia, Rodentia, Heteromyidae. The record is from RefSeq and is a predicted model, not a curated record.
UGGAGGCUACAUGUAACACACGUCCUUUGUAUUCCAGGUACUCAGAGCCAUAAUCCAUAACUCCUAGCAGCCUUGAGAUCAAAAUAAAAGCAGAGUCAACGUUGGAGCUUGGGGAAAAUCAUUCCACACCAGAUUCUGUGGCCUGUCUUGGCAUGUUGUCUAAGAGGAGCAGGCGUCUGUGACAAUCAUCCUAACACCUGAUGCCAUGGUAAAUAGCAAAGAUGAACCAAGGAACUGUGUGGUGUGUGGGGACCGAGCCACCGGAUAUCAUUUCCAUGCUUUGACUUGUGAAGGCUGCAAGGGUUUUUUCAGACGAACAGUCAGCAAAAGCACUGGUCCCACCUGCCCCUUUGCUGGAAACUGUGAGGUUAACAAGGCCCAGAGGCGCCACUGCCCAGCCUGCAGGUUGCAGAAGUGUCUAAAUGCUGGGAUGAGGAAAGACAUGAUACUGUCAGCAGAAGCCCUGGCGUUGCGACGAGCAAGGCAGGCGCAGCGGCGGGUACAGCAAACACCUAUACAACUGAGUAAGGAACAGAAAGAGCUAGUCCAGAUCCUCCUGGGAGCCCACACUCGCCACAUGAGCACCAUGUUUGACCAGUUUGUGCAGUUCAGGCCUCCAGCUUACCUGUUCAUCGAUCACCGCCAGCCCCUGACCUCCUUGGCCCCUGUGCUCCCUCUGCUUGCACACUUUGCAGAUAUCAACACUUUCAUGGUGCAGCAAAUCAUCAAGUUUACCAAGGAUCUACCUCUUUUCCGAUCCCUGCCCAUCGAAGACCAAAUCUCCCUUCUCAAGGGAGCUGCUUUAGAAAUAUGUCAAAUCUCACUCAAUACUACAUUCUGUCUCCAAACACAAAACUUCCUCUGUGGGCCUCUUCGCUACAGAAUGGAAGAUGGAGUCCAUGUGGGAUUCCAGGAAGAAUAUAUGGAGUUACUCUUUCAUUUCCAUGGGACACUGAAACGACUGCAACUCCAGGAGCCAGAGUAUGUACUCAUGGCUGCCAUGGCCCUCUUCUCUCCUGAUCGGCCUGGAGUUACCAAAAGAGAAGAGAUUGAUCAGCUGCAAGAGGAGAUGGCACUGACUCUGGAGAGCUACAUCAAGAAACAACAGCUAAGGCCUGGAAAUAGGUUUCUGUAUGCAAAGCUGAUGGGCCUGUUAGCAGAGCUACGGAGCCUUAACAAUGCUUACUGGUACCAAAUCCAGCGCAUCCAGGGACUGUCUGCUAUGAUGCCACUUCUCCAGGAGAUCUGUAGCUGACACCCAUGCUUGCUUCCUUCCCCAACCCACCUGGGACACACUGGACUGGAAAGCUGAAACGGAUGGGACCAUAUAUUGGAACCAGUAUAAAAAGAGCUCAGUGCUUGCAAUGCAAAGACUACAGUAAUAACUGCCUCUUCAUGCAGUCAUGGGGAGAAAUUGAGGGGAGGCAAGAGGGAGGAGGAUCAUAGGAACAAAAAUGAGGAAGCACAGAAGACAGUGAAGAAGGAAGCCUCAGGGUUUAAGAGUCCAGAACCAUAAGAGCAUAUGGAAGAUGAUAGUGCAGCUGGUGGCGGAAGUGGGAGCUUCAAACCACAGCCUCAU